CUUAAGUUUUCUCUCCAAAAUCCUCUCUAGUUGGUCGACCACCCUUACAGCUUUCCUCUUAAUUUUUUUUCACAAAUCCUUACUCAAACUCUCAAUCUCUCAUCUCCUUCCUUCUAUACACCUAGUUCUAAGCCACUUGGUCUUUGUUUGAAGCUAAGGAAGCCUAUCAAAGAUAGAACAUCUAACGGUUGAUCAAAGGAAUAGAAGUGCUAGAGGUCAAAGUUCAAUCAAAAGGUCUACAAGAGGUAAGGACAAGGAAAAGCUGAGGUUGUGAGAGUUGGAGUUUGCCUGCGAAAGUGUACAUGUGACCCGACCUUUGGGGAGUCUACACUUUCAAAAUGAUAAUUUUAAUUAUGCUUAAACUAUUUUGGUUUACUAUAAUGAUUUUAAGUUAUUAAUGUAAAUAUUUUUAGCGUGUGCACACAUUACGUUUUAAAAAAAAAAUUAUCCGAAUUUUUGAAACCUUUUCAAUGUAA
Long non-coding RNA from Humulus lupulus (European hop), 476 nucleotides. RefSeq lists it as uncharacterized. The record is from RefSeq and is a predicted model, not a curated record. The transcript has 3 exons. Lineage: Eukaryota; Viridiplantae; Streptophyta; Magnoliopsida; Rosales; Cannabaceae.